This 253-nucleotide ribosomal RNA is filed under the name uncultured bacterium. RNAcentral describes it as "partial 16S ribosomal RNA". It matches the Rfam family "Bacterial small subunit ribosomal RNA", at positions 524 to 776 of the family's 1533-position model. The record is from RNAcentral.
UACGUAGGGCGCAAGCGUUGUCCGGAAUUAUUGGGCGUAAAGAGCUCGUAGGUGGUUUGUUACGUCUGCUGUGAAAACCUAGGGCUUAACCCUGGGCCUGCAGUGGAUACGGGCAGACUAGAGGUAGGUAGGGGAGAAUGGAAUUCCCGGUGUAGCGGUGAAAUGCGCAGAUAUCGGGAGGAACACCGGUGGCGAAGGCGGUUAGCUGGGCAGUUGCUGACACUGAGGCGCGACAGCGUGGGGAGCAAACAGG